UGUUAAUUGUCCCUAGUGUGUAAAAAUAAUGCCAGUGCAUGGGAUCGCUGGUCGGUGCGACUUGGUGGGUCGAAAGGCCUGUUUCCUCGUUGUAUCUCUAAACUCAUUUAACUACUGUUCUUGGGAUUCAAUUUAUGAUGGCCACUGCUGUUAACUUUCAUUGGAUGCCCAGGUUGAGCAGGUGGUCCAAGCCUUAUGUGAGGUGGGGUGGUUCAUAUAUUGAGGAGAUCUCUGUGGUUCAUUUGGGAGUUGUAGUUCACAUUAAGCUGGAUGAGCAGGCGGAAGGGGAUAAAUGAACUCCUGUCAAGUAUUGUCUUUGAUGGUUAGUGAUCUUGCUGCUAUGAGCUUUGAAUAACAACAUUUUAUCCAUUUUUAAAUCAAUUUCUAUAACCAGGGAAUUGAACGGCAAGAACGCAAUUCACAGGAAGGAGAAUGUGCUUGGGUAAUGGACACAGAACUAACAGAAAACACCAAGCUACAUACCUGCCAUGUUUAAAAAAUAACCGAGUGCCACAUUUUUGACAAGCUGGAUACAGAAAACAUGUGUCAUGUAGACACAAUAUGGAAGCAGCAACAAAGGAUCUUUUCCCAUUCAUGAGCUUCCUGAGAGACAAGAAUGUCACAACAGAACAUAAUUAAUAAUUUGUAUUCUAGUUAGUUAUAAUACUUGAAUUAAAGAGAAAUGCAUGGUG
Molecule: long non-coding RNA, 692 nt
Organism: Leucoraja erinaceus (little skate)
Lineage: Eukaryota; Metazoa; Chordata; Chondrichthyes; Rajiformes; Rajidae
Exons: 2
Source: RefSeq, a predicted model, not a curated record